GAGAAGUAGGACUGUAACUUGGAGAUGUAGGGCUGUAACUUGGAGAGGUAGGGCUAUAGCUUGGUGAGGUUGGAGAAUAUGAGGGGCUGGUAGGAGAGUAGGCUGGACUUGUCGGACUGUAUCCUGGUGAGCUAGGACUGUAAGUAGGUGAUGUGGGGCUGUAACCAGGAGAGGUGGGACUGUACCCAGGAGAUGUAGGACUGUAACCAGGAGAGGUAGGACUGUAACCAGGUGAUGACGGACUGUAUCCAGGAGAUGAUGGGCUGUAACCAGGGGAUGACGUAGGAGAGAAUGCCAUUCCACCAACAUAAGGUGAGAACUGUGCAUCUGAAAUGGGUGAGAGACGAAGAUUUGGGCUCAGCAAGUAACUUGGAGACAUCAUGCCUUCAUGAUAAGGAGUUCCUG
This 405-nucleotide long non-coding RNA is filed under the name Gossypium barbadense (sea-island cotton). Its description in RNAcentral is "long non-coding RNA (GBAR_LNC010179)". Lineage: Eukaryota; Viridiplantae; Streptophyta; Magnoliopsida; Malvales; Malvaceae. The record is from RNAcentral.